This 569-nucleotide ribosomal RNA is filed under the name uncultured organism. RNAcentral's name for it is "bacterial SSU rRNA". It matches the Rfam family "Bacterial small subunit ribosomal RNA", at positions 1 to 561 of the family's 1533-position model. The record is from RNAcentral.
UGGAUCCAGACUUUGAUCCUGGCUCAGGAUGAACGCUAGCUACAGGCUUAACACAUGCAAGUCGAGGGGCAGCGGGAUUGAAGCUUGCUUCAAUUGCCGGCGACCGGCGCACGGGUGAGUAACGCGUAUCCAACCUUCCGUACACUCAGGGAUAGCCUUUCGAAAGAAAGAUUAAUACCUGAUAGUAUCUUAAGCACACAUGUAAUUAAGAUUAAAGAUUUAUCGGUGUACGAUGGGGAUGCGUUCCAUUAGGUAGUAGGCGGGGUAACGGCCCACCUAGCCAACGAUGGAUAGGGGUUCUGAGAGGAAGGUCCCCCACAUUGGAACUGAGACACGGUCCAAACUCCUACGGGAGGCAGCAGUGAGGAAUAUUGGUCAAUGGACGAGAGUCUGAACCAGCCAAGUAGCGUGAAGGAUGAAGGUCCUACGGAUUGUAAACUUCUUUUAUAAGGGAAUAAACCCUCCCACGUGGGAGCUUGUAUGUACCUUAUGAAUAAGCAUCGGCUAACUCCGUGCCAGCAGCCGCGGUAAUACGGAGGAUGCGAGCGUUAUCCGGAUUUAUUGGGUUU